RNAcentral lists this unclassified non-coding RNA (947 nucleotides) under Hevea brasiliensis (rubber tree). Lineage: Eukaryota; Viridiplantae; Streptophyta; Magnoliopsida; Malpighiales; Euphorbiaceae. The record is from RNAcentral.
GGCAACUGGAAAUGCAAUGGAACCGUGGAGGAAGUGAAAAAAAUUGUGACCACAUUGAGUAAGGCGGAAGUUCCAUCUGAGGAUGUUGUUGAGGUUGUCAUUAGUCCUCCAUUUGUAUUUCUUCCCUUGGUCAAAACCUUAUUGCGUCGUGAUUUCUCCAUUGCUGCACAAAACUGCUGGGUAAGGAAAGGAGGUGCAUUUACUGGGGAGGUUAGUGCUGAGAUGCUGGUCAAUUUGGGCAUUCCCUGGGUCAUCCUUGGUCACUCUGAGAGAAGGCUUUUAUUGAAUGAAUCAAAUGACUUCGUGGCUGGUAAAGUUGCAUAUGCACUUUCACAAGGCCUAAAAGUGAUUGCUUGUGUUGGGGAGACUCUUGAGCAGCGAGAAUCAGGAUCUACAAUGGUUGUAGUUGCAGCGCAAACAAAAGCAAUUGCAGAACAAGUCACACACUGGUCCAAUAUUGUUUUGGCUUAUGAACCAGUAUGGGCCAUUGGAACAGGAAAGGUUGCUACUCCAGCUCAAGCUCAACAAGUUCAUUUUGAAUUAAGGAAAUGGCUUCAUGUGAAUGUUGGUGCAGAAGUUGCUGCUUCAACUAGAAUCAUCUAUGGUGGUUCUGUAAAUGGAGCUAACUGCAAAGAGUUGGCAGCACAACCUGAUGUAGAUGGUUUUUUGGUUGGUGGUGCUUCACUGAAGCCUGAAUUUAUUGAUAUCAUCAAGUCCGCAACUGUGAAAACAACCGCUAAGUCGGAAUAAGUGUUGCUACAAGGAACCAUCUUUUCUCUGACUCUUUUGUAUGUUUAUUGUAAAUCAACUUCAAUAAUACAUGUUAGGCACAAGGGUUUUAUUUAAAAUAAAGAAGGUGAUGUUUGCAGCAUGCCUACAUUAAUUUGCUUGAUGUUCAAUCUUUGUCUAUUCAUCCAACUAUUUUAUUUCAGCUUACUGGAAAGUGG